UGACAAGUUCUGAAUUGCAUGUUGCUAGGAGCCCUGUGGCUGCUUGGUGGUGAGGAGGCUGGAGUUGGCCUCGGGGUGAAGCAGAGAGACCAGCUAAGAGGGCACUGCCCAGCAAUCCUGGUGACAGACAGUGGGCCCUGUGGGUGAAGUCUGUGUGCACUUCUUGUCCUGCAGAGGGAACAAGCAGGACGAGGAGGAGAACCAGGUGUCAGCGUGAAGAAAAUGAGAGCACUGGGGAGAACGAAGGCAGGCUGUUUCCUUCAGGCUUUCUCGGUUGUCCUCUCUUCCUGAAUCCAUCUGUGGUGUCAACCAGUCAUGGAUGCAGGAGACUCUGAAGUUAAGCCCAGCAGCACCACACUGAGCAUCCUGAGGAAGAGACCUGAAUACUUAAAGCCCCAAAACCUUGCCUGCAAAAACAUGGUUCUGCAUAAGACAGGUGAGCUCAGAAUCGUCACUGAGGUCUGGGGCAGUGUGGACUCAGCAGCUGAGGCAGCCUGAAGUCACCGUCCACCUGGAGAGCUGGGUCAGAAGAUGGAGGCAGAGACAAAUAUCCCGUGUCUCUGUUUAGCCUUAUUUCAGGUCAGUGGGUAUGAUUUUACCUGAGGCAUUUGCUUUGAGUCUUUACCAAACACUGUGGAAUCGGAUUACCACUGAUCUAGACAUUCUCAGACAUCACCGGAAGUUCAUGUCCGCGGAGGCGGGCCCAGGGCAGGGGCAGGUGCGGCCAUGGGCGGUACCUGGAGCCUGCGCGGGCUCCGCCCACAAGCCAGUGGCUGCUAGUGCGCAGGCGCCAGAUGGAGUGCACGCAUGGGACAGGGAGGACGCAGAGGCGGUCCUAAGGCCUGCUCGAGGAGGCGGGGUCACAGACUGAGGGGUGGGGCCGGAACCAGAGGGGCGGGGCCGAGGUCCCAAGGCUAGUCUUGGGCGAAAGUCAGGGACCAAGGGAGGAGCCCAGGACGCCUGGCUCUAUAUGUUGAGAGUGGAGCCCGUUUCCGGUGGAGAGGGGAGAGUUCCAGUGCUCUGGAGCUGAAGAGUGUGCCUGGUGCGUGCCCUUCCUGCCCACUACUCACUUGCCCUUCCUAGUUCCUCAGAGGACCCUUGGCCUCUGGAUGCCCCUUGUGUGAGGUUGUGAGAACACAUUUUCCUGCUUAUUCAUGCAUCUCUCAGCCAGACGUUGUUGGCACCCAGGCCACACAUAUCUGCCACAUUAAUAGGAAAGCCCAAAAUAUUAGCCAACAUAAUCCAGAGCUGCAUCUUCAAAGAAUGAUGACUAUGGCCAGGAAAUGUAAAGAAGGUUAAAUGUUAAGAACUCUCUUAAUUUGCUAUUUUAAGAGACCAAAAGAGGAUAAUCAUACAGUCAUCUCCAUAGAUGUUAAAAAGAUAAAAAGAGGGGUUAUAUGAUUUUACCAUAGGAAUUUGCUUUUAGUCUACUAUCAACACCAAAAUCAAAUUACCACUCUGAUCAUUACAUCACUUUCUCUAACAUCAUAAUCACUUAUAUGCACAUAAUGCACCACUUGAUUAGGGCGAUGACACUCACUUCAAUUUCUUUAAUAAUUCGUGUGUUUUAUGAGGUAGUGCUGCAGGUCAGCCCCUCUAGUUGCCCACGACAGCUCGGCCCAAAGACGCUGUGGCUCCUGUUGUUCCCAUUUAAAAUACGUAAUUGAAUAAUGACUUUAGAGUUGGAAUUUUAAGUAGAGCUCUUACUAGGUUUAUCUAUUGUUUAUAUAUUGGAACACUUACGGGAAACUUAGUUUCUCUGAUUUCAUAGGUUUACUCUGUUAAAUAGAAUUAUUUAUUAUUUGUGAAGGGUUUAUUUAUUAAGACUUUGUGUUUUCUUCCUCCCAAAUCUCCUUUCCCUCUCUUCCUUAUUUUGGUAAAUGGCAAUUCUUUCCUUCCUAUUCUUCAAGCCAAACACCUUUGUGUCCUCCUUGACUCCUCUGUUUCCUUCAUGCCCCACAUUAACUCCAUCAGCAAAUCCUCAGCUCUAUGUUCAACAAGAACCUGAAUGUGACCAGGUCAUUGCACCUCCACUGUUACUGCACUUGUCAAACCCUCCAUUACCACUCUCCUGGAUUAUUCUAAUAGGCUCCUAACUAGGCUUUCUACUUCUUCCUUACUCUACGCAGUCACUUCUUGUACACAUCUUUUGUUGAACAUCUGUACACAUUUCUGUCAGCUAAAGAACUUGCUGGGUCACAAGUCAAGGUGAUGUCCAAAGACUACAAAAGCAUGAGUUGAAACCCUCCAAAAAUGUACCCUCCUUCUGUCCCCUAGCACAAGCUCCCUGCCUAAGGAGAGGGAGUGAGAGCACUCUGUUCCUUCUUCUCCAUCACUUGGGAGAAGGGGCUGUGAAGAAAGGGACAUGGUGCCCUCUUUUUCCUGUGGGUCUCAGGAUCCCUCUAGCUGGGAAGAAAAAAGAUUUUUAAAAAGUUUGUUUUCUGUCGUACAAAGAAACAGAAGGAAACUUGAACUUUAAAUUAUCCCAUCUGUCACUUUCCAUUGAUUGAGUCUUGCUCAUUAAGAUAAAUUCCAAGCUAGAAUACAAUUUUUUAUGUUUUGCCUUUUGAGCUCUCCAGAAUGUAUGCCUUUCAGCUACCUCAGUUUCUUUCUUUUUUUUUCAUUCUUUCUUUCUUUUGCUUCCCGCCCCCGCCCCCCCCACAUUGCCAGCUGCCAAGGAGGAAUGGGGCACUCUAUCUCAUGGUGUUUCCCUUCUUAUUUGAGUUCUUCUGCAGUUCAACACCUGACAUCCACCUGCAGAGAUGCCCAAGCAAAGUCAGACACCCCCUUUUCUCUCUCUUGUGUGCCGUGUUGGUACAAGAAGGGUGUGCGGCUUCUCUGGGACAGAAGAGAACCCAAAUUGAGCUCUACUGUUAACUAGCUGUGGGAUCCUGGAGGAGUCGUUUACCCUGAUUCUCAGCUUCCACGUCUGUUGAAGGGGAGAUACUCAUGAAGAGGACAGGAUGGCUAGGUUUUGGUAUCAAGGUUAUGCUGGCCUCAUCAAUGAGGUGAGGAGUGCUCCCUCCUACUCUACUUCCUGAAAGUGAUUAUGUCUAUUGGAAUCAACCAAUCCUUCAGUGUUCGGCAGAACUUACUUGUAAAACCAUCUGAGCUUGUUUACUUUAUCAGAAAUUUUUUAACUAACUGACUCAAUGAUUAGAAGACUAUUAAAGCUUUCUGUUUAUUUCUUGACCUAUUUGAUAAAUUAGAUUUUUCUAGGGAAGUGUUUAUUUUAUCUAAAUAAAUAUAUUCAUCCAGAAAAGUGAAUUGAAUAGCCACUAUAUGUUAUUAGACAUUGUCCUAGGUGCUGGGGAUAAAAUGGUGUACAAGAUGGACACAGUCCCUGAUCAUCGGAAUAUCAUUACAGCGAGGAAUACAAACCAAAAGCUAGUGGUUGGGAGAGGAGAGGCGAUAGAAAUUAAACAAGAUUGGCCGUGAGUUUAUAAAUGUUCAAACUGGGUGAUUGGUACACGGUGGUUCAUUAUACUUUAUAUAUGUUUGAAGUUUUCCAUGAUAAAACGUAAAAAAAGGUAUAUACAUAUACAUAUAUUUAUAUAUAAAGAACUGAAAAGAAUAUACAAAAUGGUCAUAUGUCAGACAUCUUAGAGUAGCAACUUUACAUAUGAUUGUUUUCAAAUUCCUAAACUUCCUAUAUACCAUAUUUCAUCUCUUCUAAGAUACACAUUUUCCCUCCGUGUUUUAACAUCUUUGAAAUCAGGAUAGAUUUUACAAUCAAUGGCAUCAUAAUUUAAAUGAUAGUUUUUUAGUUUUUCUUAGUGAUAUGUAAAACAAUGGCAUGUCUUAUAAUUAAUGGUAUUGAGAUUUGAUGAAAUAUGAUAUUAUGUUACUUUUUAAUUUAAAAAUAUUUAUUGAAAAAUAUAUUUUUUAAAAUGCUUUUUUGGUCAAAAAUCUAACCAAUGGAGUCAAUGAAAGAGUUAAAUAAAGACACCUAUUUUCUUCAUAAUAAAUUCUCAAAGUUAUCCCAAUUUAAGAACCAUGACUGAAUAUCUAUUGUAUAUGACUACUAUAUAUUUCCUUUUUAACAAAAACAACAAAAUAAAUGAUUCAGCUCCUACUAUGAGUUGUGUACUGAUCUUGGCACUGGAGAAUCAGCAGUAAAACAAGCAGGCAAAAAUCUCUGUCCUCAAGAAGCUUACACUCUAUAUAUUCUUCAUAAUAUUUAAAAAUGGUAAGGAUAAUACAUUCUAUGUAAUAAGAGGAAUAGCUAUUUGUAAAUUAGUU
Molecule: long non-coding RNA, 4242 nt
Organism: Equus caballus (horse)
Lineage: Eukaryota; Metazoa; Chordata; Mammalia; Perissodactyla; Equidae
Source: Ensembl